UACGUAGGGUGCGAGCGUUGUCCGGAAUUAUUGGGCGUAAAGAGCUUGUAGGCGGUUUGUCGCGUCUGCUGUGAAAUUUCGGGGCUCAACCCCGAACUUGCAGUGGGUACGGGCAGACUAGAGUGUGGUAGGGGAGACUGGAAUUCCUGGUGUAGCGGUGAAAUGCGCAGAUAUCAGGAGGAACACCGAUGGCGAAGGCAGGUCUCUGGGCCAUAACUGACGCUGAGGAGCGAAAGCGUGGGGAGCGAACAGG
RNAcentral lists this ribosomal RNA (253 nucleotides) under uncultured bacterium. RNAcentral describes it as "partial 16S ribosomal RNA". It matches the Rfam family "Bacterial small subunit ribosomal RNA", at positions 524 to 776 of the family's 1533-position model. The record is from RNAcentral.